This 252-nucleotide ribosomal RNA is filed under the name Negativibacillus massiliensis. Its description in RNAcentral is "partial 16S ribosomal RNA". It matches the Rfam family "Bacterial small subunit ribosomal RNA", at positions 524 to 776 of the family's 1533-position model. The record is from RNAcentral. Lineage: Bacteria; Bacillati; Bacillota.
UACGUAGGUGGCAAGCGUUGUCCGGAAUUACUGGGUGUAAAGGGAGCGUAGGCGGGAAAGCAAGUUGAAUGUUUAAACUAUCGGCUCAACCGAUAAUCGCGUUCAAAACUGUUUUUCUUGAGUGAAGUAGAGGUAGGCGGAAUUCCUAGUGUAGCGGUGAAAUGCGUAGAUAUUAGGAGGAACACCAGUGGCGAAGGCGGCCUACUGGGCUUUAACUGACGCUGAGGCUCGAAAGCGUGGGUAGCAAACAGG